This 69-nucleotide transfer RNA is filed under the name Anaxandra taurina. Its description in RNAcentral is "tRNA-Leu". Lineage: Eukaryota; Metazoa; Arthropoda; Insecta; Hemiptera; Acanthosomatidae. The record is from RNAcentral.
ACUAUUUUGGCAGAAUUAAAAUGCGAUAAAUUUAGAAUUUAUUUAUGUGAUGAUAUGUUACAAAUAGUA